Molecule: transfer RNA, 65 nt
Filed under: Dromaeolus sp. ZM-2022
Lineage: Eukaryota; Metazoa; Arthropoda; Insecta; Coleoptera; Eucnemidae
Description: tRNA-Cys
Source: RNAcentral
AGUUUUGUAUUCAGUUGAUUUCAGAUUGCAAAUUUGAAGGUGAAUAUUUAUUUAUUUCAAAACUU